GGAGGGAUAGCUCCGUGGUUAGAGUGCGUACCUGGCAAGCACAAGGUCCUGGGUUCAAUCCCCAGUACCUCCA
Transfer RNA from Camelus ferus (Wild Bactrian camel), 73 nucleotides. It matches the Rfam family "tRNA". From Rfam's summary of the family: Transfer RNA (tRNA) molecules are approximately 80 nucleotides in length. Their secondary structure includes four short double-helical elements and three loops (D, anti-codon, and T loops). Further hydrogen bonds mediate the characteristic L-shaped molecular structure. tRNAs have two regions of fundamental functional importance: the anti-codon, which is responsible for specific mRNA codon recognition, and the 3' end, to which the tRNAs corresponding amino acid is attached (by aminoacyl-tRNA synthetases). tRNAs cope with the degeneracy of the genetic code in two manners: having more than one tRNA (with a specific anti-codon) for a particular amino acid; and 'wobble' base-pairing, i.e. permitting non-standard base-pairing at the 3rd anti-codon position. The record is from Rfam. NCBI's taxonomy places the organism in Eukaryota, Metazoa, Chordata, Mammalia, Artiodactyla, Camelidae.